Gopherus flavomarginatus (Mexican gopher tortoise) is the source of this 2260-nucleotide long non-coding RNA. RefSeq lists it as uncharacterized. The transcript is spliced from 4 exons. Lineage: Eukaryota; Metazoa; Chordata; Testudines; Testudinidae. The record is from RefSeq and is a predicted model, not a curated record.
GACCCUGUGCGACCGGGAAGGGUUUUUGCUUUGCCCAAGCCUGCGGCUCCAAGGUGGCAAGGGACUGAGCCAGCAGAGGAGAAGCAGGUACUUCGCCACAGGACAAAUAAGCAGGCUGGUAGCAGGGCCUGAGUGAGGGAAGAUAUCAGCAUCUUAAAGGCCUAACUGGCUCCUACUACUUCAGUUGACUGCCUGUUCUCCUCAAGUCGGUUCAGUGAAGCAGCAGGAAACAGGAAGCUCCCUGAGAAGCUGGUGUUAAUCAGUCCAGGCUCCUGGGAGUGCUAGAGAGGUACAUAAGAGGCUCCUCCUCUUCUCUCUCCCUGCAGCUCCUCCUGCUUUCUAUUAUUCCCUCUAACCUUUUCUCCUGCCUGCCCGUUAUGUCUCUUGUGCCCUCCUUCCUUCAGCAUAGCACUCCACCAACUCUGUGCAUCUAGAGCUGCCUCUGUUCGCCUCAUGGUAAGGCCAGCCCUGUCCACAUAUCAGCAGGCAGGUUUUCCAUGUCCUGGGAAUGGAUGGCAUGUUUUGAGAUCCUCUCCAGGAUGGUUCUAGCUCUCGGAGUGAUGAUUGUGUACUCCGUAUUCUUCACCUGUGUCACCAGAACUCCCAGCUCCUGACAUUCCUCGCACCGUGUCCAGUGGCAGCUGAUACGCUCCUCCAGUUGUCACGUAGCAUUGCAGGCAUGAGUCCAGAGCGAAGCAAAGUCUCUCCCAUCUCUUCCAAAUUUGCCUUCCAAUGUGCUGCUCAGUUUUUCUUGGAAAUUAUUGACUGGCCAUCUCACUGAGGGAGCAUCACUUCCUGCAGCUCCCAUUGACUGGGAAUGGCGAACUGCGGCCACAAGGAGCUGAGGGGUUCCAUGCCUGCAGUAAACAAAAUGUCCCAACCCGCCAGCGGCUUACCUUGAUGUCCAGGAGCCAGAGUUUGCCAACCCCUGAAAUAUAGGGUUGGCUUAUGAAAGGGUCAUACAGUUUUUGCUAUUUUUACCUAACUAUCUUGGGGGGUUGGUUUAUAAAUGAAUGGGUUAAUGAAUGAAUAAUAUCCUAAUCCCCAGUGACUCUAAUACAAAGAAGUUUAUGAAGUGUAUGCAUACAUAGACCAUAAUAGUAGAUAGCUUGGUCCAUAGGAAGAGGAGAAUAAACCAGGGUAGGAGCACAUUAAAAGAGAUAAAUGGAUUAGGAAGUAUCUGGGCUCAGUCUUCAGCAGUGCUUAGUUUACACUUGAUGCAACUGAGGACAGAGGCAGUGAGAGAGGAAGGCAGCUGUAAACCAUCUUAUUCCCCCCUACCACCAUCCUCGGCAAGCUGGGUGCCACUGCAGUCCAUGAUCUGAGCUAGAGCAGCUUAAGAGCUGCUCUAAGUCAAACCGCCUGUGGCAGCUGAGAAUCUGAUGGAGAGCAUUACACCUUGCCUCAAACUCUCCAGUUCUAGCUAUGACAUGCCUGGCCUCCUCCUCACCACUUGCAGCCCUGUGUUUAAUAAAAGAUGUAUUUCUUUAAAAAGUCCCAGCCUCUCACAUCUGGAGUCUGGGAUCUAAACAAAGUGACUAAACAGAAGUUUGGCUUUACUUCUGUGUUUACCUGAACUUCUGGACUUUCCUUGAAGGUCUUCUCUUUCCAAACAUUCACCUUAACCUGUAAGGUCCAUUCGGCUGAGUAACAGAGUUCCUUUUAAAAAACAACAUGGGACUGUGAAUGUUCUGAAAUGUUUGACAAACCUUUUUCCCUGCAUUUUUUUUUUUUUUGCAUUUUCAUACAAUAUCUGCAUAUAUAGGUUCUGGGCAGAACUGGAACUGGAUAAACUGAAAUUCUGUUAGAUAUUAUGGAUAUUGGUGGUUCACUAUUCUGUAUCAACAACUUAGUCAGGCCUAUCAUAGUCACUACACCAAACACACUGUUGUCAUGAUAUAUAUGCAAAAGCUGUUAUAUAAUAUAUCAUAGGAAAACUAACAGCUAAGUGAUCAUUAAUAUUUUUGUAUGAUGUAUGUGUGGGGUGUGUACAAAGAGUUUUGGAUAUGUACUAGAAUUAUGUUAUCAAAAUGUGUUUGACGAGCAAUAUAUAGGCACAGUCUGCCUGAGAUAAAGGUAUGUGUAUCUGCUUUUCUGACCAGCCUUGUCUUCAAGCAGAGACCUUGAAGGUACAUUUACAUAAAAAGAAAACAAAGCCAUCAAACUAGCAAGUGGAGGAGAUAGCCUCUUAACUAUAAAGACAAUGGGGCCUGAACCUCAAAUGAUAAAUAAUUGAAUCAACUGAUUGUAUACAAUGUUA